AUUGAACGCUGGCGGCAGGCCUAACACAUGCAAGUCGAGCGCGAAAGGCUUUCGGGCUGAGUAGAGCGGCGGACGGGUGAGUAACGCGUAGGAAUCUACCUGGUAGUGGGGGACAACUUGGGGAAACUCAAGCUAAUACCGCAUACGCCCUAUGGGGGAAAGUGGGGGACCUUCGGGCCUCACGCUAUCAGAUGAGCCUGCGUAGGAUUAGCUAGUUGGUGAGGUAAAGGCUCACCAAGGCGACGAUCCUUAGCUGGUCUGAGAGGAUGAUCAGCCACACUGGGACUGAGACACGGCCCAGACUCCUACGGGAGGCAGCAGUGGGGAAUAUUGCGCAAUGGGGGCAACCCUGACGCAGCCAUGCCGCGUGUGUGAAGAA
This 379-nucleotide ribosomal RNA is filed under the name uncultured bacterium. Its description in RNAcentral is "bacterial SSU rRNA". It matches the Rfam family "Bacterial small subunit ribosomal RNA", at positions 30 to 412 of the family's 1533-position model. The record is from RNAcentral.